CAGCGGACCUCUGGAUAUUAGGCCAGAAUGCAUCGGGCUAUAAAAAGCUUGUUUAUUAAGGAACAGUGAGGGCCUUCCUUUCCAUUGUCUGUUCGCGCCUUAAGAGGUCAAAACAUUACACUGGUCGUGCCGCAUUUGGUCAAGACUCUGCACUCGUGCGCUGUGCCUCGUCCACCGCCAUCAGCGUGGGUCAAGAGAAGGAACUUUUCUCCUUCAUUCAAAUAACGUGCGGAUGGAGGAGCGGAAUGAAGUCCUUGCAUAAGCUAGCUAGACAAUGAAAUGAUAAAUUUGUUUGCAUACCAGUUUUACGACUGCUCAAGAAAAGGAAAGAAAGGAAGGAAGGAAGGAAGGAAGCCGGUGGGUGCUUCAUGGCUUUGACGCCUCCAAAGCUCGAUUGUCAAGUUUGGUGCCCAAAGGUCUCUCUAACUUCUCAAGGGCGUUUGUUCCACAAAUUCUGUUUUUAACUUGAAUUACUAUCGGCUCUUUUCUGAUCGCUCUGAACUACAACAGCCCUCACCUCCGGAUUUAGCCAGAUCGGUCUUCUGGUUCAAUAUUACUCUGUGGGAGACACGGAAAUUCCUUUGUCUUUUCAAGGCGGUAUCC
Molecule: small RNA, 603 nt
Filed under: Histoplasma capsulatum var. duboisii H88
Lineage: Eukaryota; Fungi; Ascomycota; Eurotiomycetes; Onygenales; Ajellomycetaceae
Description: Histoplasma capsulatum H88 hypothetical RNA
Source: RNAcentral